GCGGUGCGGAGCGAGGGCGAGGCUUCGGCCCGCACGGGUGGCAGCGGUCCCCAGGGAGGAAAGACAAAGAUAUGCGGGUUAGAAACCAAGGAAAGAGCGCCGACGCCUCUCAGCCCCGCAAGAGCUGCAGACCCACGGGCAGUGCGGUGCCACUUUCGCCCAACAGGGUGCCAAGAGAGAAAACUGCGGUGGUCAUAGGAAAACAGAUCCAAUUCAGGUCUCAUGCAACAACUUGGUGGCAAUUUAGGAAAAUGUAUCAAAACCCUUAAAUGUCUGAAUACUCUUUGACCCAGAAAGUCUAGCUUGAGAAUUUUCCCUUAAGGAAUAAUUAUGAAUACCUACAAACUUUUCAUACAGGGUGUUCAGUGCAGUAUCUAUAAUAGAAAAAAAAAAUGCCAGAAAAAAAUGGCAAAAAAAAAAAAAAAAUGGGAAUGUCCUACACCCAACAAUAAGGUAUUGGUUAUAGUCUUUUUCUUACAGCGAAUACUAAACUGCUAUUGAAAUAAUGCUGUGAAAUAAUACGUAAUGAUAUGGAAAAGAAUUGAUACUAUAUGCAAUGAAAAAAAUCAGUUUCAUCCCCAUUUGUACCAUGUGAGUGUAUACUUACGUGUACAUGUGUGUACACACGACACAUCACAUAUGUAAUAAUGGACAGAAACACAUCAAAAUGUUAAGCAGUUAUCUCCAGGUGAUAAAGCUGCAGGUAACGCUUUUUUAACUUAUGUUUCCCAAAUUUCAUACAAGUUUGUUUUACAGUAAAAAAUAUAAUACAAGGAAUUUUACUCCAUUCUUAUGUACCCAUUCUAUAUUUAUCUCAAUUCAAAUUUAUGAAAAUCUUUCUUUUCUAUUGUGUAGCAAAGUGGUGGACAUCAAAAGAUUUUAAAAAAUGAAGAGUCCACAAAAGUAGUUUAUCUUCCUCAAAAGUUCUGCGUAAAUUACAGUAUUACAGAAGAGUUUAUUGCUUAAACACUUUGCAGUUAAUCAAAGCUACUGUCUUUUGUGACAUUAUAUCUUAUUUAACUCUAGUAAUAAUUUCCACUUUAGAAAAAAAAAAAUCUGGGCUUUUGAGAAAUGUAAUUUGAUUUGUAAUUUCCAGACUUGGGAACACACAGUUUGCUAAAAACAGAAAAAUGUGGGACAAAUGUUUUAGAUCAUACCAAUGUUUUAGAGUAAUUCAAUGAAUCUCUCUUUAGUUUGAAAUAAUUGAAUGGGAUCAAAACUAAAAUAUGGCAAUGAACUAGAAUCUAAGCUUAACAUCCUGGUCUCCCAAUCAUAAAUUAAUUUAAAAUUUUAAGUUAAUACCUAGGGAGUCUGUUUUGCUAAGCCUUGUUCCAGGAACAUGCAUAAAAGUGAUAAUAAAAUUAUAAUAAUAUAACACAGGAGAGGGGUUCCAGGACUUUGUUAUUAGAUUGAUAGAAGAUCCUCUGUAAGUUUCAGAUAUAUUUUAAGCUGAAGUGAGCUCAGAGUUGUCAGGCUGAUUUUAUCUAAUGAUGAGCAAAUCCAAGAUUAGAUGUUUAUUGGAAUGUUGCUUUGUUGCUUAAACAGAUGACAUAAGUAAUCACACCAUCCUGUAAGUUUCCUUCACCCUGAAGGUACUGGAUACAAUUAUUGUGUCUGGAAGCAUACUUUUGGUAAAAAUUAUCAGAAAUAAAUAAAAUGUCCAAAGAGAAUAAAUCCUCUUAAGGCCAAAAGUUUGUGUUAACCACCUGCUCCUGAAUAAAAUGAAGGUUAUAGGAGCUUUUAAUAAAACAUUUUCUCUCAAAAACCUUAAUAUUCCCCAAAUGAUGUAACCAAACAAUGUUAAAUACAAAUAAGACAGAAGAGCAUUUAUUAUUGGUGCUACAGUCCAGCUUUCACUAUUCAUACAGUGAUUUCAAUUUAACUCAACAUUUUUGGAGUCCCUAUUAUGUCUCCUGCACUGUGCUCAGACAGUAUGAACAAAAAAGAUAACACAAGGUUCCUACCUUUGAGAAGCUCUAGCUAGAAAAUUACCUUCAGAUUACUCAGAUGCGGGGGAUAACCUGAAUCCCUAAAUUACUCGCCAUUGUCGUGUCAAAGCUUCGCAUCCCAUAUUCUUCAAAUGAGCUGAUUUCCUCUCAUUCCUUUGCUCAGAUUUAUCCAGAGCAACCUACUGCCUCCACAAUAGCUAAAUCGAUAGAGAUUCUGACUAAAGAUAUGGACUUCCUCCUCCAGAAACAUGCGCAGAAGUGCAUACACCAUUUACUUCGUUUCACUGCACUGGAAGAUGAUUUACUGAACAUAAGCAAUAUUUGUAAAGGAUUAUGCCUCCGUUCUCUUUUGAAAGAAAAAUGACUGUUUCCUGGAAAAAAAAUUUAGAAAAUUCUGACUGUUCAGUAGUACAUCUCAAUGAGAUCUAGUUUAAAUGAGUUGAAACUGUGCUUUGGCUUUUGACAUAGCAACAUAUACUUCAUCUUUGAUAACCCAUUACAACUUUUUCCCUAUGGCAACAAGUGCUGAAAUCCUUGACUCACAAAGGUACGUAUUUAAUAGAACGAAAGCAGAAUUGCAUAGAAUGGAAUUUGCCAGGUUAAGGUGGCCUGCACACUGUAACACCAAAUUCCUCCAAGACUUUCAAGUUAGAUUCAAGUCACAUUAUUUCCUCUGCCUUCAAGUUCAAUUAGACUUCUGGAAAGUCAGCAGAUUUCUGUCUGGUUAGAGAAAAACAUCUUACCCUGCUCCUGUUUCUUGGCAACACCUUUUGGAAAGGUGGUAACAGCUGCUGAUAUGGAAAGCACCGAGGCACAAUGACGUGCAGCAAUCCUUUCCUCAUCAAGCAGGAAAACCAUGCUGUGUUGCUGACAUCACAGGUGCACCAGCUGCCCCCAGAGUGCAAUUUUUCUUCUUCCAUUUGAAUAUUUAUUGAGAACGAAUAUUUUGAAGAUGUUGACAGUCUUUCCAGUUUCCAAAAGGUGUUCUUAAAUGGAGUUCUCCUUUGAUGACAUCAGCAAGCACAUGAAAAUGUGAAGCUGGAUGCACUGAGAGGCAUCAACAGUUUCAUUCAUUUGCAUGCUGAAGAGAAAUAUGCAGAGCUGCCCAUUUCUUCCAAGUCUGAAGUGAGUGAUGUCAUUUGACAGAAGUAGGGCCUUAAUUUUCUUUCAUGGACCACAUUUAAGAACCUUUGAGUCAAACUAUUUGAUUCUGCACUCCCCUUACACUAUUGUUUCCCACCUCUGUACUUUUGUUCUUGGCAUUUCACCCAUCGAAAAAUGUUUUCUCCCUGCUCUCAUCUAUUCAAAUCCUGUCCAUCUCUCAAGACCUAGACCAAAGCCAGUCUCUUUCAUUAAGCUUUCCCUGACUACUGCAGCCUGAAAUGAUCUCUCUUCUGAACUCUGACAAUGGUUCCUAUCUUUGACAGUUCUCAAAAUGUGGUUCUGAGACCACCACCUUUAAAAAUGCACCAUAUUAUGUAUUUUUACAAGCACCAGAAAGAGCUGUGGUAAUUUUUCCUGUUUUCCUGAAUCUUCUUUGCAACUCUUAAAAGAAUAACUCACUUCCCAGAUGGAUGGAGAGAAGACUGACAAUGAUUAUUUUUGCUGGGGUGAUCAACUGACUCAUCUGAAUCAUUCCUUUCUGUACUCAUUUUCACACAAAUGUUUUGAUUUGUCAGUUGUGUAUCUGUCAGGUCUGUAGUGUCACUGCUGACUGCUGAAAUCCUACAUUUACCCAUGGACUUUUCAAUCACAACCUCCCAGUGCCAUGGCCAUCCUUCUAAGGAUUCAGAUGUUGCUACCAUUUUCAAAAUAACUUCACACUCUAUGAGAAAGAAUUUAAGCAGAGCUUAAAAUGAAGGCAAGCACAGUUAGAUGGAAAUGGCUACAACUGACAUCAUAUACUCAAAUAAGAUGUAAAAUCAAAUGUAUUCUGGAACUGAGCAGCAACUUCAAGAUCAUCUCUUCCAACAGAUUCACAUGACAGGUGGGGGAAAUGUGGAGAAUGGGGUAUUUCAGAGCAAGAAACUGAAAUUUAAAAGAAUAAAAAUCUUAAAGUUAAAACAAUAGCAAGAUCACAUACAGUCAAAGGCAUUGUCCUAAUUAGCUCAUGGAUUCAACAUUAAGGAUAAAUAAAAUUGAAGAAUUAAAUGAAAAGAAUUAAAGGAUGAAAAUAACUCAAAAUGUAAAAGAUGGAUCACACUCAUCUAUAAACAUGGCCCAAAAGACUGUCUUUGAUAUUACAAGUAACAAGAUGACUUGGACUCAAAACCAGUUAUGCUUAUUCAUAAUAAUAGUUAUCAUGUACUUACUGUAUACCAGGAAUUGGGCUAAGUGUUUUACAUACAUUAAUCAACUCAACUGCAUUAAAUUCUAAUAGAAAAAAAGUAUCAAAAGAGAAAGUCUAUAAUACCUCUGUAAGAAAAGAAAUGAAGAAAGCAAAAGCUGGCCAUGCAUCUGCAGCCUGGUCUAGUAGAAAGGAUGCUCUGCAUAUUGAACAAUAUCUGGUCUGAGUGGCAGUUGCAUUCCUAUGGGGAAGAUGAGUGUGUUGCACUACCAGAGCUUACUGACACUGGUUGCUGAGAGCUGAUUCAAUGCUCACCAAGCAACCUUCUGAUUAUAAUUUAUUUUUCAUGUAGAUUUGCCUAUUGGGAGAAAAUGCACUGAACCAUAAACAUGAGAAAUGAUUGUGCCUGACACUUCCCAUCUCAAAUUAAAGAACUGAAUUGUGGAAUUUAUACACUACUAUGAAGCCGGUUAAAGGGAUACAGUCUUCUAAUACCUAGUUACCUCUCUGGAUGAACCAAUAAUCAGGGUCAGCCUUAGAAAGCAGUGGCCACAUCAAAGUUCCUGUGAGGCCUGGCAGGGAGGCCAGCCUGCCCUCUGUCCUGCUGUCCACCUUCUUUAAACAGCAAAAUCCCACGAUUACACACACACACACACACACAAUAACCAUUUUAAUUAGAAAUGGAAAUGAUGAGAAAAGGAACAAAAUAUAGUGUUUUUCCAUGCUCUAGAGCACUAACUUGUGAGCUUAGUUUUUACAGCAGAUAAGGCCAAAGUGGUUUUUUCCCCCCAAUGGCACCGAUAAGUACUUAUUUUGCUUAUUAAAAGAAUCAGUCACCUAAGCAAAAAGAAAAAGUCCAAGUAGAACUUGGACAUAUAAACUUUUACCAAAGAAUAAAUAUAAAAAUAUUUCAGAUGUCCACAAAUAUAUGCAAUACAUCAUUACUUAGGGGUGUUGUUUCCUUUUGGGAUGUUUUGUUGGCCAGUUUUUGUUUUCUGACAUCAUCUCCAUAGGAGAGAAACUUAUAAAUAUGGCAGGAUCCUAACAUGACUUAAUCACAGUUCUUGACAAGACUUUUUGUUCAUUAUCUUACAUCAAGAAUUCCAAAGUCAGAAUGCAGUAAGAACCCUUAGGACCCUGUGUUCAGGGUUGAGGAUAACACACGUAAAAGCUGUGCUAAAGCUAUGAACAUCAAGAAUAUGAUCUUACUUGUUCAACAACUGAAUUUUAACUAUGAUGAUGGUGUUAUGAAAAUAUAUUUUUAGUCUGAUUAACUUUUUUUCCAAUCAACAAUGGUUGGAGUCUAAUAGUAUUUUCAGACAGAAUUACCAAGUAAAUAAUACAUUGAGAAGGCCUGCCAUCUUUAGGAAGAAAGCAGAAUUACUGACUAAUUAUCUAACAUGAAGUUCAAAUAUAAGUACUCAACCUCUAUGAAUAUUAUCAUGGACAUUUGGCAUGGGACACAUUUUUAAAUGGAUUUGUCUUUUGUGACACAAUUUGGUCCAUAAGAUCUAAAAUCAAACGGUUCUGACAGGCUCUAUUUUUCUCUGAAAGUUAAAGCAAUAAUUGCACUGAUAGAUAAGCUGGCCAAAAAAAAAAACCCAGAAUGAUCAAAAUUAAUGGUGUAUUUUUAUAUAGAUGAUCAUGAAUCAUAUCAAGAUAAAAAUAUAUAGUUACAAGCUGUUUUGAGAAACAAAUGAAAGACUAUUUCUGUGAUAUGCAUUUGAGGUUGGAGAUUUUAAAAUUUAGAAAAUGAAACAAACAUUUGUGGUUUGACAUUUUAACAUCAUUGCUUCUCACUGGCCUUGAGAUAAACUGUUUGUACACACAGUACAAAUUUUUACACAAGUCUGAAGGUAAAUGAUUUCCCUGAAAACUUCAUCUGCCAAUUCUUUCUCAAAUGGAAAAGUAAAUAUACAAUUAGCUAUUUUUGGUAACCAGCAAUAACAGCUAUUUAUAAAUUUCCCUUAUUAUUUUUUAACUUUCAACAUUAUUUAUCAUAAAUCAGUGACCCUCUCUUCCUGAAAGAAAUGUGAAAUACUACAUCAUGUUGCACGUGAGGUACUCAAUAUGCUAGAAAUAAAUAAUAAUUUAAUACUCUGUCCAUUCAUAUUAACAAAAAACAGUUGUUUAAUAAUAAUAGGCAGUAUAGCAAAAUGGAAAGUUCAUGGACCAAGGAACAAAAAAAUCCCGGGCUCUACAAUUUUCAGACAUUGUUAAGUAAAAAAAAGCAAGGUGCAGAAAGGUAUGCAUAAUAUGCUACCAUCUGUGUGAAGGACAAUGUAUACAUCUCCUUGAUUGCACAUACAUGAAAUAGCUCUUGAAAGUCCAAGAAAUUGGUAACUUCUUGCCUCUGGGGAAGGUAAUGGAAGAACUGAGAGAUGGGGUAGGGAAAAAACUUACCUUUCACAGUAUACCUUUUUGUACUUUUUAAAAACAUGUUAUUACAUAUUAAAAUAAUCUUUAAGAGAUAGCUGGCUUCUAUUCCUGACUUCUUCAUCAGCUACACAUUUGACCUUGUGCAAUCACUUACCUCAAUUUUCUCCAUUUUAAAAUACUAAAUCUCUAGAUUCUCCAUGUACAACUCAACAGAAUUAUGGCUCAAUCGAAGGUAUAUACAAAAUAUCAGGUGGUGAAAUAAAAUAACUAUUAGCCUUAAUUUGCAAUGACUUACUCUUCUGUCUUUUUAUUCUGUAUUGAAAGUAAAAGUGUGAUUAACCCACCUUUUUGACAUAUCCAAACUAUUGCUUCUGAGAUACACACUCUCAAAACAUUUCAGUUAUUGAGUAAAUAUUAAAUGUAAGUAUAAAGAGGUAGAAUUUUGUGGUAGAGUUUCAAAAUUGAAACUGAGAUAGGAAAAAGCUGAAAAUCACCCAUAUAUCUCCAAAAAAUUAUCCCAAGAAUCUUCUAAAAAUCAUCCAUAAUCUUUAUAAACAGAAGAUACUAAAAGAACCAGAGAAGGCCAAGAGUAGAGCAAUAGAAAGCUUAGACCAGGAAAAAUAGGACAUGAAGAAGACACUACAAAAAAGAAAUCAAAACUUAUUGAUAGCUUACAGGACAGGAAGAAUGGGGACAGGCCUGGUGAUCCAUUCUUUCAUAAUUCUACAUGCUGCAGGGUAAAACUGCUAGCCUUGGGUCUCAAAGGGCUUAGUCUAAUCAUGGGGGGCAAUGUAAUUAAUAACGCAAUAAUAACACAAAGGAUAGAAGUGAAAAAUAAAUGGUAAGGUAAAUGUGAGUUUAUCAGAAGAGGUCUCUAUGAGUUGGAACUGUCAAGAACAGAUUCAUAGAAGAAAUAAGACUUUGAAGUCUACGUAAUAAGCAAAGUGGUGGUGGUAGCAUGGAUAAAAUGAAGAAUUCAAGCAAGGAGAGUCAGUUCUAGUAGGAUGGGAGCAGUAAUCGUAGAUAACAGGCUGAUGAAUUUAGUUUUAGACAUAGUUUUAUUCUAAAUAGUAACUUGGCUAAAAAUAUUAAAAAUUAUUUUUCAAAUGUUGGGUUGCCAAAUUUUCUUUAUAGAUUACUACAUAGGAAUGAUGACAUGCUAGUAAUAUAUCAAAACUGGCUGACUAGGCAAGAUCAACACACAUCUAGAUCCAACUUUUUAAUAGGCAGGGCCCUGAGGUAUGAGAAAAUCACACUUACACAGGAUGUUUGGUAACCAUCUUCCAGUAUUUUCUUGCAGGUACCUAAUAUUAUUUCCUAACACAAUUUUCAUACUCAGGAAUCAGCUCCACCCAAAAAACAUAAACCAGGAAAUCAAGAGGUGCCAGUUUUACUUUGCCAUUGAUUAAGUUUGUGAAUUGGGCCUGGGUGAUGAAAUUGAGUGCUGUGGGUUUUAACUAUAUGAAAAAAUGUCAAAACAAAAAAAACCAAAAGAACAAUCUGUCAGUGAUCUAGUGAUUUUGUAAAGCUAAAGCAAUGAUGUAUAACCACUUAACUUCUGGCAAAAUACACAUUAUAAAUUCAAGAUAUUUGUUAUUACAUGGAUAAAAAGUUGUGUCUGUGUGUGUGUGUGUAUGUGUGUGUGAGAGAGAGAGAGUGUGUGUUGUUAUUGGUAGCAUACUGAUAAAUCUUGUAAGAAAUUUCUAAAAAUGUAUUUCUAAAAUGUUGGCACAGGGCAAGAAAGAAUAUCAACAAAUAUAAAGAAGGCUAUAAAGCAAAUGAAGUCCUCAAUGCAGAAAGCAUAUAUUCUAAAAUUCUAUUCUACUUUUGAUUUUUGUUACAAUCCUUCAAACACCCAAAUACACAUAUCUUCAUCAAUAAUCUCUUAGUGAUUUACUGGGGUGUGAAUGAGAAUAUAGAGGCUUGCCAGGAAAAAAAAAAUGAUGUUUAAACAAAAAGAGACUGGAAACAGGUAAAAGUUUAUGGUUAAUAUAAUUGUGUGUUACAGCAGUGUGCCUUGUAUUAUUUGAUGUGGAUAUUAGGCUUUAAUGCUAAUACCCAUCACUGAUUAAAGUAUAAAUAACAAGAAAGAGAAACCAUUUUCAAAGCAUUAAAACAAAAAACUUAAAAAUGUGUGUGUGUGUGUUUUUUUUACUCUAGAUCAUAAGGGAAUAAAAAAAUUGUUUUAUUAUAGCUAUCCUCUUCUAAUUCAGGUCUGUCAUUUCUACUAUUGACUUCAGUUUUUAGGAGUUAUAACUCAGCCAUAAAAUUUACUAUAUUGAAACUUGACAAAGUCUCCUGGGAAUUCUUUCCUUUAAAGGCAUAUUUUAAAAGUUAAUGCCAAAAAAGUUGGAUACAGACCAAUGGCAUCUUGAGUGGUAUACAGACCUAUGCUUUCUUUAUUAAAUCAAUGGUUUCUAUCCCAAGCAGGGCUGAUUUCUGAAAAGUCAUCUUGCAUACCCUCAUAAGUACCCACUGGCCUGGAGGUACGUGGUGGUAAAUAGGCUGCUUCAUUUCACUUUUAAGGAGACACAAAUUUCCACUUCAUACUAGUGUUUUCUAGAUGGCAAGAUCAGAAACAGUUUUAUCGUUAGGUUCUUCCUCCAGAAAGGAGGUGGAAAAGGGAAAAACCAAUGAGGGCCACAGGAUGACAACGCAGGAUCUACAUUUCAUUAAAUAUUCACCAGUCCAAAAAGUGCAGCUUUACAAAGUAUAAUUAAUAUAUUUAAGUCAUCUGUUCAACCUUUAAUAGUACCUUUAUUCCCUUAGACUCUGGCUAUGGAUACUAAAUUACUUAAGUUUCUCAUACGGAUUAUGUCAAAUUCUAUCAGGAUCUUAUCAGCCAGAUGGCUUUCUCCUAGUUUCCUUGACUAGAUUAGGCACACAGACAUAGUACUUGCCUAGAUCAGAGGCAUGGGGAGUAAAUCAUGAAAAUUCCUGGACAGAUCAAAGCUAUGGGACUCAACAAAUAAAUCUUAUUUGGUCCAAGAACACUAAUCAAUUGCUUUAUUUUUUAAAAUAAGAUUUUUCCUUUUUCAAGAAAUAAUCUUUUAAAAUAGGUCUUACAGAUUUUAUCUUAAAACCUCUCUGAAUACAACACAUAAAUUAAUUCAUAUUGCCUAAUACUAUUACAAUUUAAUUAUUCAGUACUUCUCAGAGUAAAAUCAAAUACAUGUUAUAUUACAUAUUUUAUAUGGGGGUGGGGGUAACAGAGAGAGAGAGAGAGACAGCAUCAGAGCUAGCCAAAUACCUGCUCCCAAAUGAAAAACUGAAAUAGGUAGGUAUUAUCCUAAAUUACAUAAUAAAUGAAAAGAAUCCAUGUAGUAGUAUAAUACAUUGAUUCUAUUUAUUCUUCCUGGUAAUCCCUUCAAAGUCUAUGGCUUCAACAACUACAUGAAUACUAAUGACUUCUAAAUCUCUAGCCCCUGGGCAAUUUCUCUCCUGACCUCUAACCUGUAUAUUCUACUCCUAUUAAGCAUCUCCAAUUAGAUAUCCCUCUACCACCUCAAACUCAACAUACCUAAAACUUAAUUCAGCAUUUCCCCCUGGAAAAGUGUUCUUCUUCCUCCCGUAUUCUUUGCCUUGAAGAAUGGUGCCACCCACCUGCUCAACUAGAAUGCCUGAAACUGAAUCAUACUAGAUUCUUUCUUCGUCUCCACUGCCUGGAAAAUUUCAUUUCUGAAAUAAUUAUUUCACCUGUAUCCUUUUCUGUAGUCUCAUUGCCAAAACCCGAAUUUACGUCCUAUCACUCUUACUUAGACUUCUGAAAUAGUCUCUUAAUUGAUUUCCCUCACACAAUCCCACAUCCCCACCUCCACUCCAAUUCAGUCCCCUUGGUGCUAUUAUAUGUCCCUGUUUAUAAUCUUUCAACGGUACUCCUAAUUUUGAAAUAUAGUUCAAACUAUUUACUUGGUACAUAAAAGCCUUCUUGAUUUGGCCAUUUCCCUGUCUCAUACUCCUUCCCUUAAUCUACAUGUGAUUUCAUGUCUCUGUACCUACAUGGAAACUUUUUCUGCCUAUCUCUUUCAAAACUCAAGAAUAAAUUUAGGAAUUAUAAGUCUUUCCUAACUCCUCAGUGUGCCUUAAUAUUCCACUUCUGUGUCCUUAUAAUGUAUUCCUCUUCCAUCAUACUUGAAGAGGAACUGCAUUGCUUGUCUCUGUACCUGACUCAGUGCCUCGCACGAAGCAGGAGCUUACUUGUUUACUGACUGAAUGAAAUAAGUCAAUGUAAGACAGUGAAAUCUGAAGAAUACUCAUGGAAUGCUUUAACUUUUGAUACUGAACAAGCUCUGCCAAAAAAAUUGUUUAAUUUGCUUAUUAUUACUAAUCUGUCCCCAAUCGUAUUUUUAAAUAAUUUCUUUCAUCUUCUAUUCAAUAAAGUGUGCUAAGUUGAAAUCUUCAACCUUUAAAAGGCAAACACCUCAUUUCAAACACAACUAGUCUUACAAGUAAUAAACUCUUUAAUUAACAUGUAAUACAAAGGCUUGCAUUACUCAAGAGACUAAAAGGAAUUUGGGUUAAUUCAACCUAGCAAAUACCUGUUUGCCUGCAUACCUAGGACACCAUCUACACAUCAGCAGCAUGUAAACAAAUCUAGCUGUCACCACCCCACAGCCCCCAAAUCAACUACAGUCACGUCAGUAAAUCUCCUGUCAUGUAUCAUAGCCCCAGCAUCCCUUCAGCUUCCUAUGAUCAACCCAGUAAGGUUUAGGUUAUUUUUAAUUCUUACCAACAAAGUUAAUUUAGUUAUUUAAAAGCUAUAACACUAUUUCCACCUCUGUAUGCAACAUACCAAAUUAAAAUUCUAGCAAAGAGGACCUGAAAGCAAAAUAUUUUUAAGUAAAGAAAUUAAAGUUAUUUUUAAAAUAGAACUUAUUCAAAAACAAAAUUGUCAGUCAAUGCCUUAAAAACAAUAAACACACCUAGUCCUAACAAUAUCAUAAUGAAAAUUAAGCAUGUGUAAUCUUCAGAGUUGAGUGUUAUUUUUAAGAGGCAAUAGAGUCUCUGAACAGAUGACUUACUUCCUCUACUUGUCUUUUAUUUGACCUCAGAGGACCAUAGCUGACAGGAGGAUCGGAAAUGAGAAAUUACUUUUAGAUUCAUGUUUAUCAUUUAUCUGAUGGUCAUUGGAAAAAACGAAGGACAAAGUUUCAUCCUCUGCGUACUGAAACUUUAAUGGAAGACAAUAUCCAAACCAAAACUAUUUUAGACUGGAUCUAAAGCCCAUUACACUUCUCUUAUAGAAUAAGCAAGAGUAGGAAACAGAUACACCACACUUAAAUGAAAAAAAAAAAGGAAAUCUUUUAAAAUGUAGAUGGUUAUUAUUUAUAGCCUUAUUGUUCAAAGUGUGGAUCACACACCAUCAGCACGGACAUCACAUGGAGCUCGCUGGAACUGGAAAAUCUCAGGUCACACCCAGAGCUCCUGACUCAGAAUCUGCAUUUUAACAAGGUCCCACAUGAUCAUAUAUAUGUUAAGGUUUGAGGUUCUUUGGUUUAUAUAGUUGAGUAGUUCUGAAAACCCAUCAAAUUACCCAGGUAGUUGGUACAAAAUAUAUAGGAGCUUGGACACUACCACUAGAAAUUGCAAUCUGAUAGAUGUGGAGUCAGCCAAACAUCUGCAUUUUUUCAAAAUUUUGUAGGCAAUUUGAAUUCACAUCCUGAUUAAAUAACCAACCACUAGUGUAAUCAAAGGAAUUUUGGCUUUACCAAAGUACAGAACUCCUUUAAAUACCAAACUCCUCUACUCUAGUACAUUGAAAAUAACAUUUUAUGUAUUCUUGUUUCAGACACUCUAUUUUGUAAAACAGACAAAUGUUAAUUUAUAUAUUUACAUAUAAUCCUUUAUAGGAGAUUCAAUAAUCUCUCCUACAGAAAAGUUGAGGUCAACUCAGAUGUAUGCCCAUUCUCCAAAGAGACCCAAACUGGUUCUUUGCUGGAACAAAAUACAUUUUAAAUCACAAGGUAUCACUAGCACAUAAUACUGCUUGUGAUUUUUUUUUUGUUAACAUGGUAAGUCAUCCAAGAUGGAAACUUUAUUUAUACUAACAGCAACUCAAAUACUCAAUUCAAUCAACAACAAAGUUAAAAUAAAGAGUCAAAAACAUGAGAACUAAAAUAUGAAAAAAUACUUUAUCAGUGUCACUGAUAUCACUACAGGCAUGUAAUGAAGCAUGCAAAUGUGUACUUGGAGUAUAAUUAAGUUAGGAAUAAAGACAUAAGUUAGUGUUGCUUCUCAUCAAUAAUGAGCAAAGAAGACUGAUCCUGGCAUGAUACUGGAGCAGUUUUGCAGGUCACUUAACCAACAGCCUCCAUCCAAAAUGCCUUCCCUCCACAAAUUCUAUAGGUCACAAACUGUACUCAGUAUUGUGCUCAGCACUCAGGACACAAGGACGGAAACAGCCCUGCCUUCAAGCGCCUUUUUCAGUCUAGUUGGGGAGACCCAAAUAAACAGGUAGUUACAAAACAUGGUACUAACUGCCACAACAGGAGAGGGAGAGGGUAGGAUGAGUAUACUGAAGGGUACUCAGCUGCCUUGGACAGGGAAGGUUCCUAAGAGAUGAGUCCUGAAAGAAGAGAGGUGGGUAAUACAAGAGGACAUUCCAAGCUGAGGCCUUAGAAAAAAGAGCACGAAUUUGCACUUAAGAAAAAUCACUCUAAGGCCAGGUGUGGUGGUGCAUGCCUGUAAUCCCAUCGCUUUGUGAAGCCAAGUCAGGAGGAUUGCUUGAGGCCAGGAUUCGACACCAGCCUGAGCAACAUAGAGAGACCUCAUCUCUACAGAAAAUAAAUAAUAAAAAUUAGCAAGGUGUGGUGGUACAGGCUUGUAUCCCAGCUACUCAGGAAGCUGAGGAAGGAGAAUCACCUGAGCCCAGGAGUUCGAGGCUGCAGUCAACUAGGAUUAUACCACUAUGUACUUCAUCCUGAGUGAAAAAAAGGAAAAGAAAAAUCAAUCUGGCCUCAGACAUGAAAAAAAGCCUAGACUUAUAAAAUUCUUAAGAGUAAUCAAGUCAUAUUUUUCUUCAGAUCCUAAAUGUUUACUACAGUCCUUGGCAUAAAGUAGUUGCUCAAGUGUAGAUGGCUGAAUAAAUGAGUGAAUGGAAUUAUAUGUAAAGAAAUUUAAAAGUCCAAUAAAGAUGAAUUCACUAAUAUUUAUUCAUUCCAUAUGUUCUAAAUAUAAUCUAUUCUUGAUGACUCUGGAUGAAUAAACUCAGCUUAUGUAGAAAAGUAUAUCUUUUGGAAAGGUUCUCAUUCAACAGAGUUUCAUUAUUAAGCUUUAGAACUUAAGGCAAAACUGCUGAUACCAAGUAAAAAGCUUAAAGCAAAACUAUGUUGAAUAUGAUUCUCUCCUAAGAUGCUGAAUAUAUGAGAAGCUACAUAGUGAAGGCCCUAUAAAAGAUAAGGCCUCAGGCCUCAACGUGUGCACAAUUCCAACAGAGACAGAAUUAUUCCAAGGCCAAGCAUAGAGAUACAAUUAUUCCAAGCCCCAGUGUAAGAACCACCUUUCCCAAAAAGCUUUUUGUGGAAAAUGCCCAAAAAUAAUAUUUAGACCAGGAAAAAAAUCUAGUAAGCUGUUAUUUGAUUGGAAUUUCUUCAGAAAUACAAAUAGCCUCCAUGAGACAAGUGUGACACUAAAACUGCUUUGAUUGAAUCAUUGUCAAGCCUGGUCCCAUCUUCUGAUUAGAAAGGUUCCACAGUGCCCUCACUGAAGUGUCAGUGUGGGGUAGUAAGUUGUUCACUCUCAUCCUUAGGGAAAUAAAUGCAAAAAGCAAAAGAGAGAAGCCCAUUACUAUUUUAAACUACAGAUUAAGGUCUGUGAGAAUGUACUAAGAGUCUAGGACCCUGUAAUUUCCCUGCCUUUGCUACUUGGUAUCUGUUUGCCUGCACUGCCUGUACUUUGCUAUUAUCCAUCCACUCAUUCAACAGAUAUGUUUUAAGUGUUACUAUGUCCCGAGCAUUGUGCUAGGCCCAGGGUCUACAUAACUCUCCCCAGUCCCUUACAUAAAUCUCUCCAGUGGGAAGAAAGACAUUAAACAAAUCAAUGCACAAAUAUAAACACAAUUACAAACAGUAUUAGAUGACAGUAGGAAAGGAACAUGAAACAAACAACAAAGAAGACAGACAUACUUUAUUUAGAAGUGACAUUUGGCAGAGACCUGAAAGAUAAGUAAAUUAGUCAAGCGAUGAACAUACAGUAACAACAGAUCUGUGUUUUAGGAAGAUAUUUCUAACAACAGCACGGAAGACAGAUUAGAAAAGAGGUCAGUUAAGAGACUACUGCAAUAGUGAAGGUAAGUGAUAACAAAACUACUAAAAGUGGAGAUGGGAAGGGGAAGCAAACGUGAAAAACAUUCAGAGGCAGGAUGGAUAGGCAUUGAUCACAGAUUAGGGAGAGUAUAAAAGAAAGAAGUUAAGGCAUUUGCCAGGAUUCCAACUAGCAUAGGUAACCGGAAGGGUAGGGGUUAGAACAACUGAGACAUGGAGCACAUAGGAAGAAAUUUUAAAAGGAAGAUAAGUUUGGAUUACUGAGUUUUUUGUUGCAUUUAAGAUACUGGUGACACAUUCAUGUGGAGAUGUCUGACAUUCAACUUUGAAAACAAAUGGUCUUAUAAUAAGGAGAACAGCCAGACUAGAAAACGGACCUGGAGUCAUCUUUAUGGAAGUGAUAAGUGAUACCUCGGGAAUAGAGGAAUCACUAAGAGUAUAUAAAAAGAAAAAAAGACAUUAAGGAAACCUUAAUCCAUAUUUGAAGACCUAGUAACAAAACAAAAGCCAGUGGCAAAAGAGAAAGUAUUAAAUUUCACAGAAGCAUCAGUCCAAUAAACAUUUAUCAACACCCACCAUGUUCCAGGUACUAUGCUAGAUAUGGGGGUACAAAAAAAAGACAGGACUCCUACCCUUAAGAAAUGUAUAGCCUAGAGAAGAGAUAGAAAUAGAUUAUUUCCAGAGAGUUAUAAACGGGGCACCACAGAGACACAGAAGGGAGACACCCAGGAGGUCAGGGAAUACUCACUGAUGUGAGGCAUUAAGAUUAAAUAAAAUGAUGCAAAGAAAGUUGGUAAGGGCAAACCAAAUGAAAUCAAGACAAUGCUCCUGGACUUCUAAAAUACUGAGUAAGAUAACUGGUUUAGGAAAGAACUUGGUUGGAAGGAGCCAAAAGAGGCUAAAGUGAUUUAAACUGGAAAGAAUAAUCUAUUCUUGGAAGAAAAUAAACAUAGAAGAUGAAAAAAGGGGACAAAGGACAAGGGGUUUUUGGCCAAAAGUGUACAAGUUUUGGGUGAACUGUUACAAAAGAGAGAUUGAAGGUGCCAAGCUGUGUAAGGAUAUGGGAAGGUGGGUAAAAAGAACUUAUUUGAAGUUUGCUGAGCUUUAUGUAAUUGUAUAUUUCUAUCUCAUUAGAAGAUUUCACUAAUAUAUUACAGAAGUUCAUUACUUUCCAAAGGUUCGGGGCUUGUCUGCUUCUUUUGAAUGCAAUACUGAGACUGGCCCAAAAUGACCCAGGUAUACGUGACCAUGAAUGUGUGGAAAAGGUAAAUUUGUAAGCACUAAUGGUUGCAGAGGUCAAGCAUGAUGUAAAGAGAGAAGCCACUAGAUUUCACAUUUAUGUGGUGACCUUCAAGUGAACUUUCAACCGAAAUGUAGGGGUAGAAAAAAAUUACAGGUAGUUCACAAAGUGAAUGGCAGAGGCAUGGCUCUAACAUUGUUCAUUCAUUCAAAAAAUAUUUACUGAAUGCGUACGAUGCACUAGGAACUAGCUUGGGCUUCGGUGAAUCAACCAGGAUCAAGAGACAGAUUUCUCAGAAGCUUACAGUCUGAUAUAGAAGGAAAACAAGGAAAUAAACAAUUACAAUGUGACAGAAUCAGUACUAAAACAGGGUAGUAUGAGAGCACAUGGAAGUUUGACAGACUAGAUGGCAGUAACUAGGUUCAAGGUAGUAUAGAAGAGAAGUUUAUUUUUUGACUGAAAGGAAUUUGAGCAUGUUUGUAGGUUGAGGAAGAGGAGCUAGUGGACAGGGAGACAGAAGCUGGGGAGGGGUAAAGAGGAGGAGUUGUUGGAAGAAAGUCCAGUGAAGUAGACAGGCAAGGGUGGAAGUGCUGGACUUGGAACAGAAAAACAGCUCUUCCUCCAAAGAAGAGACAGAAGAUAAAAAAUAGUCCUGAUGUGAAAAGAGCAUAAACAAACAUCUUCUACUUUUUGUCAUGAUAUAAGCAAGAUCUGACUUUUAUAAAGGAAGCAAAGAUGGGGUUGAAGGCUUAAGAACAGUGUGAAAAGUUUGAAGCAAGCAAGGAUAAAUGAAAUGAUAACCAAUCAACUCCACUUCUUAAGAUUAUGUAAAUGAGAGAAAGCACAAUCAAUCAACAAUUGUGGGCAUGCUUUGUUUGGAUCUGGAAGUGGAACAUGAAGUGGAAGGCAAGCUGCAUUUCAUGGAAUUAGAUUAAGUAUGAAUUUAAAAAGGUAAGUAUUAAGAAUUAUCAAGAAAAAUCACUAAAUGCACACCCAUAUAGCAUGCAAUUAUAUAUGGGCUAAUACUAAUACAGUCAAUGUAGCACUACCAUGAGUCUGAACCUGUCACUAUUACUUAGUAGCAAUGGCAGAAGCUAGAAGGUUCACACAAUGAAGGCAGGCAACAGAAACCAUAAGUAACCAGAAAUGAAGAGGAAUCUCACAUGUAGAGAAGCUAUACAGAUUAGAUCAUGUAAUGGGAAAAGAAGUAAAACCCAAGACAGACUGUUGACUAAUGAUAAGAUAAGCCUGAAGAUAACUGAAGUGUUGUUCCUGCCUUCCUUCUUUCUUCAUCAUUCUCUUAGCAACUGUUGUGUGCUAGGUACACUAUGAGGCAUUGGUGAUACAAAGAAAAGACAAUUCUUGCUUGUAAUCUCAAAAUACAUUCCUGUACCCACAGCCUAAUGUUUACCAAAACAAAACAAAACAAAACUGUCCUGAGUUUUGCUAUUCAAAACUACACAUUGUUCAAUAAGACAUUAAUCAUGAAGAAACAAAAUAAUAUCAUAAAAGGUCAGCAAAUUCGUGAACAAUUAGCAAAAGGUGCCACCAAAAAUGGCACCAAACUCCAGCAUAAAGGCCCAUAAAAUAACGAAGUGCUCUAACUUAAUAAACUUCUGUGUAUCUUGGCUUUAUCACAGAUGUUACAUUUGACUUUUCAUUUAACGGUUGGAUUAUUGCCAACAAGAAGGCAACAAACAUCAAAUGGCAAAGCAAGAUAACCAAAAGCUAAGUGCUAGAAAGUAUUUCAGAAAGAAACCGAUACAAGUUCAGUGAUCACUACGACAGUAAUAAUAUUUACUGAGCUCUUCCCUGAGCCAGGUAUUGUGCUAAGUACACUAUACACAUCAUUAAGCUUUUAUAAAUUCCCACAAUAAACCUACCUAUAAGGUAGUUUCUAAUAUAAUCAUUUUACAGACAGGAAAAUUGAAGCUUAGAAAGAUUUGGUAACUUGCCCACACUACAGAGCUAGUAAGCAAAGAAGCCAGGACUUGAAUUCAGGUCUUCUUGACUCUUAAAAAAUCCGUGCUUUAACCACUGUAUGACUGUUUCCCCAAAAGAAUGGAAUGAUGCUAGGCACAUGAUGGAUGCUCGAUAGUGUCUGUCAUUGAAGGAAUGAAUGACAGGAUAUAAAGCAGCCAUUGCACAGUAAGCCCAAAUGUGGAAAGCACAAACAGAAAAGCAGAAACAAUACUUUGAGGAUUCACUAAAUCACCAACUCAAACUAUGCAGCAUAAUUGUGGAUGUCUGGAAAACAGCAGCAACUGAUGCGGUGGCCUAAUAUGCUGCUACAAAAAAUGUAAUGGCUCUUUCUGAGGGAAAACUUCAGGCUGUCUAUGAAUCUACAAACCCAAAGAAGGAAAUGUCAUCAGGCAGUUUAGAAAAGGAAAUGCAGAUACUGAUCAAAACACUAUUUUCCACAUUUUCUCAGUAGGGAAAGGAUUGCUGAUGCUGCAUUGACCUAACAGUCAAGAUCACAACUUGCCUUUCAUUCUGUCACCUUUCAAAAGAAAGAAAAACAUGUAUACUGGAAAGCUCAUCACAUUUUAGGACUAUGGUCUUUUAAGAGAUUCCCACCAAAAGAUUCCUUCUAUGGGGCCCAGGGCCAUGUUUUAUGCCACUGACUCUGCCACUAUGAUCACAAAUGACAGGACCAAGAGAGAGCAACUGUCCCAAGAGCAGCCAAUCUACAGACUGGCCAGCAACCUAUGAAGGGGACUGACAUGAGAGAUUAGCCCAACAGGCAAUGAAUCUAACUGGACUAAUUAGAUUUCCUCUUACAGAAGAUUGAACUCAAGCUGUACAGAAGGGGAAAGUAGCGGAAGGACACAGAGCAGAGGGUGGAACGAGGCAGUUAAGACCAUAUUGAGAAGAUACAGAGUGAGGUAAUUUGUUUAAAACAAAAUAAAGCAGAGUCUGAAAAGGGCUAAUAGCAGCAGAGAAGCAAUACUUCUGCUGCUCAGAGGGCAACAUCCAGACACUAGAGUUGCACUGAUUUUUUUUUCUCAUUUUGUAACACCUACCUAGUUGAAAUCUGAAUGGUGAAGCUGAGUUGUACAAUUACUCUUGGAAUCCUAUAAGGCCUGAUCACUUAUAUCUCCCAUAUUUCCCCAAAUAAAGUCUUCUAAUAAAACUCUCCUUAGAAGCUACCAAGUAAAAUUCUGUGCUUGCAACUCAAAAAAAGAGCAUAACAUAACAUUUGUAUCUAUGGGUACAUAUGCAUUUACACGCCAAUUAGAUGACUAGUGUAAGUUUCUUACCAGCUAUGUGAACCUAAGUAAAUCACUGAACUUCUCUAAGUUUCUAUUUUCUGUUCCAUAAAACAGGGAUAAUGAAAGAAUAGGUUUUACUUCAUAGAGUUGUUGGUAGGAUUAGGGACAUUAUGCAUGAAAAGAUUUAGCAGAGUGCUUGGCAUAUAACAAGCAUGCCAUAAAUGUUCAUUAUUAUUAGCUAUUACUAAGAAUUAUCUUUCUUUUUUAUAAACACAACACUGGUGAAAUUUCCUAAAAACAAGUGAAAUCCAUCAAUAUUGAGAAGAUAAAAUGUUAAGACUUGAAGUCUCAAAAUACAUGGUGUACAAUUUAGAGAUGGAAAAGGCUUACUUGCCUUAAUACCAUUAUCAAAUAUUUAUUUGAAGUGUCUUGGUAUACAUGAAAAUGUGCUAGGCACCGUACAAAAUUAUCAAGAGAGUCCCUGACAUCAAAAAUACACAAUCAAGCAAAUUAAUUCUGCUGAGUGGACGCAAACACCAAAACCUCCAACUUUGGGCAUUUUCUCAAACAGAUGCACCUAUGGUAUGCUAGGUCCCUUUUUGUUUGUGGUGUUGUAGUGGUGAAAAUAUGUAGAGGAAGAGGCUUGAAAAUAAUAAGCCUCCCAAAUUUGGUGUGGAGCAAUGAAGAUUUAGGAGGAAAUGAGCUGCAUUUUCCAUACUCUUACCCUUCCAAAAAACACUUUAGCUAUCUUGGUACUAAUGAUUUCUAUUAAACUAGAAGAAGAAAAGGCAAGGUAGAAGCUGGAAGCUCAGAGGAAUAGGGUAUAGAAACAAUUUAGGAGAAGAGAAAUGAAUUUGGAAAGUUAGAAAAGCCAAAAUAAUUGUAGGUUUUAAGUGAGACAUGUUUUUAAUCUGCAUUCUACCAUGUGUUUAAUGCCUCAAAAACCACAGAACAGCUAUUCCUGAAAUUGCUGAUCCUUAUUCCUUUUCAAUACCAAGGAUCCCUUUAGCUCUUAAAGAGAGACGACAGGAUAGCACAGAGUACAGAAGGAUUUGUCUAACAGCACAGCCAAUAUCCUGCUGCACAUAUCUUAGAGCUUGGCUUCAGAUCAACUGAAAGCCAUGGCUAAAUCAUAAUCCUGAUAAUCUAUGGAUUCCAUUAGAAAAAUAACUUCUCCAACUCCAAACUAAGGAUCUAGAAUACUUCAAUGGGUCACUGCAGGAAACCUGGAAACAUAAUUUCCAAAAUUUUUGAAGCAUCUCUACCUCAUUUUCAGAAGUCAUGCUAUUUGAAGAGAUCUUUUGCAACUUCACAACAGGGAAUGAUAAUCACUUCUACCUAUCUCCACAUGUAUUUACCAUAACACCUACAGGGAAACUCCUCUUUCUAUACCCACAGCCUCAUGCCAUAGCAAAAUCAUUAACUCCCCACUACUGCAUCCAUAGGCUCUUUAAUGCAAACUGAGCAGAACAGACUAUUUAUUGACCAUAAAGUAAUAUAAUAAAUAUAUUCCUAAAAAAUCUGAAGGUACAUUUCAACAACUAAAGCAACCUGUGUCAACCAAAAACUUAAUUCAUAUAUACAAAACUAGACAAAAAACUAAAACCUAAGAAUGGGUAAUGUGUACACUCUUCAAAGGUUUUCUUCUUAAAGAGUAAAGGGGAGGGGGAGGGAAUGGAGACAUAAACCAAAAAAAAAAAGAAAUGGUUGUUGUGUAUUCAAGGCAUGUCUAAUGAACACCUGCCCAAUGUCAGCUAUACUUCAGCUCUCAUUUGCACUAUUCAAACUUAUAAAGUUGAAGAGCAACCUACGCCUGUUGUUUCUCCUCUCCCACCACACUUAGGAAUGGAAGGCAUCUUUAGGAAGGAAGGUAAGUUGAAUUCCAUAGGAAAACUCUUAAUUGAUCAAAUAGCAGCAAAGGUAGAUAUAAUUUAUAGCCAGAUAGGUCUUAUAUAAAAUAAGCAGUUUCUGAUGGCUCUUUGUGUGCUGUAAUCCUCACUAUAACAAUACAAAAUCACCUAAAUAUGUGUUUAUGUAGCCUACAUGCAGAAAAGCUUCUGGCACAAACUUCUUAGGCCUCUUCUCAAGAGCCUUAAGCCUGAGCCCCUGAAGUGACAGAGCUCAAGUCAAAUCAGGAAGGAUGAAGACCAGAAAGGAAUAAGAAGAACAAUACUUUGUGGUCACUUGUUUGUUCUACCUUUCUAAACUGGUCCUAGUUCAGGUUCUCUUAUAUAUGCCAUUAUCCAUUAAUUCAGCUAUUAUGAUAAAAUGUUUCCAGUCUGUCUAAUGUAGGCAAGUACUGACACAGUGCUAUUUUUCCUACAUGACCCAGAUGAAAUCUUUUGACAGCCCUGGAACUCUCAUUUAUUUCCUCCUCUAGAUUCCUAUUCUGUGGCCCCAGAAUUACUAUGGAGGAGACACACUGUGAAUGGUCCUGUAGAAAUAGGUGGGUAGAGUAAGAGAAUUCCAGCAAUGGGCUCCCCUCCUCCAAUAUCAAUUUUUCUUUCUUCUCUAUAGUAUUUAACAAGCAAGCAGAGAGGGAAAGGCUGGCAUACAAAUGAGAGGAUGCUGCAAAGAGCAACCCCUAGCUUUUUAGGAAUCCUCAUAUCUUUUCAGGGGUUAUCAGCAUUUAUCUGGAAAAUAUCUUUGGAAUAUGUCUUGUGUGUAGGAAUGCAUAAAAGAUAACACCUUGCAAAAGUCAAACAUAUAGGUUUAAUAAUGUGCAACUAAUGAAGAUGGCUUAUAAAUGAAAUACCACCUACACAUUUAGUUCC
Molecule: long non-coding RNA, 22102 nt
Filed under: Homo sapiens (human)
Lineage: Eukaryota; Metazoa; Chordata; Mammalia; Primates; Hominidae
Description: HSALNT0128644
Source: RNAcentral